Molecule: ribosomal RNA, 392 nt
Filed under: uncultured Gammaproteobacteria bacterium
Lineage: Bacteria; Pseudomonadati; Pseudomonadota; Gammaproteobacteria
Description: bacterial SSU rRNA
Rfam family: Bacterial small subunit ribosomal RNA
Source: RNAcentral
AAUGGGGGAAACCCUGAUGCAGCGAUGCCGCGUGAGUGAAGAAGGCCUUUGGGUUGCAAAACUCUUUCGUCGGGGAAGGAAAUGACUGUACCCGAAUAAGAAGGUCCGGCUAACUUCGUGCCAGCAGCCGCGGUAAUACGAAGGGACCUAGCGUAGUUCGGAAUUACUGGGCUUAAAGAGCUCGUAGGUGGUUAAAAAAGUUGAUGGUGAAAUCCCAAGGCUCAACCUUGGAACUGCCAUCAAAACUUUUUAGCUAGAGUGUGAUAGAGGUAAGUGGAAUUUCUAGUGUAGAGGUGAAAUUCGUAGAUAUUAGAAAGAACGUCAAAAGCGAAGGCAACUUACUGGGUCACUACUGACACUGAGGAGCGAAAGCAUGGGUAGCGAAGAGGAUU